AGAGUUUGAUCCUGGCUCAGGACGAACGCUGGCGGCGUGCCUAACACAUGCAAGUCGAACGGACUGUUGUCCUUCGGGACAACAGUUAGUGGCGAACGGGUGAGUAACACGUGGGUAACCUGCCUCAAAGUGGGGGAUAGCCUUCCGAAAGGAAGAUUAAUACCGCAUAAGCCUACAGUGCCGCAUGGCACAGCAGGAAAAGGAGCAAUCCGCUUUGAGAUGGACCCGCGGCGCAUUAGCUAGUUGGUGAGGUAACGGCUCACCAAGGCGACGAUGCGUAGCCGACCUGAGAGGGUGAUCGGCCACACUGGAACUGAGAUACGGUCCAGACUCCUACGGGAGGCAGCAGUGGGGAAUAUUGGGCAAUGGGGGAAACCCUGACCCAGCGACGCCGCGUGAGGGAAGACGGCCUUCGGGUUGUAAACCUCUUUUGUAUGGGAAGAAGGACGUGACGGUACCAUACGAAUAAGUCCCGGCUAACUACGUGCCAGCAGCCGCGGUAAUACGUAGGGGACGAGCGUUGUCCGGAAUUACUGGGCGUAAAGGGCGCGCAGGCGGUUUGUCAAGUCAGCUGUUAAAAAUGGGGGCUUAACCCUCAUAUGCUGUUGAAACUGGCAGACUGGAGUGCUGUAGAGGCAAGUGGAAUUCCCAGUGUAGCGGUGAAAUGCGUAGAUAUUGGGAAGAACACCGGUGGCGAAGGCGACUUGCUGGGCAGCAACUGACGCUGAGGCGCGAAAGCCAGGGGAGCAAACGGGAUUAGAUACCCCGGUAGUCCUGGCCGUAAACGAUGAAUGCUAGGUGUGGGUGUAGAGAUACAUCCGUGCCGGAGCUAACGCGAUAAGCAUUCCGCCUGGGGAGUACGGUCGCAAGAUUGAAACUCAAAGGAAAUUGACG
This 894-nucleotide ribosomal RNA is filed under the name uncultured bacterium. Its description in RNAcentral is "bacterial SSU rRNA". It matches the Rfam family "Bacterial small subunit ribosomal RNA", at positions 8 to 915 of the family's 1533-position model. The record is from RNAcentral.